GGAGUUAGCCGGUGCUUCUUCUGUGAGUGAUGUCCUUCCUGCCGGUUAUUGACCCGCAGGCCUUCUUCCUCACUGAAAGUGCUUUACAACCCGAAGGCCUUCUUCACACACGCGGAAUGGCUGGAUCAGGGUUGCCCCCAUUGUCCAAUAUUCCCCACUGCUGCCUCCCGUAGGAGUCUGGGCCGUGUCUCAGUCCCAGUGUGGCUGAUCAUCCUCUCAGACCAGCUACGGAUCGUCGCCUUGGUGAGCCGUUACCUCACCAACCAGCUAAUCCGACAUAGGCUCAUCCGAUAGCGCGAGGCCCGAAGGUCCCCCGCUUUCCCCCGUAGGGCGUAUGCGGUAUUAGCCUGGGUUUCCCCAGGUUAUCCCCCACUACCGGGCAGAUUCCUAUGCAUUACUCACCCGUCCGCCGCUCGCCACCAGGGAGCAAGCUCCCCGUGCUGCCGCUCGACUUGCAUGUGUUAGGCCUGCCGCCAGCGUUCAAUCUGAGCCAGAAUCAAACUCUGA
This 507-nucleotide ribosomal RNA is filed under the name uncultured bacterium. Its description in RNAcentral is "partial 16S ribosomal RNA". The record is from RNAcentral.